This is a long non-coding RNA of Astatotilapia calliptera (eastern happy), 1028 nucleotides long. The record is from Ensembl. Lineage: Eukaryota; Metazoa; Chordata; Actinopteri; Cichliformes; Cichlidae.
CCCACUUUCAGCCCUACUGUCAGGGCAAAGAUUGAGGAGCAUCUAAGUGUGCAUAUAAAAAAUGCUUUGCCUUUAAAAGAUAAAAUGAUAUGCCAGUGCAGGCAGCCUUGUAGGACAACAGGACACUUUCACUGCCCUGUCUGUAAGAUUACAAUCAUACGGCGUGGGGAUAUGGCAAGGCAUUUAUUGUCUUGUCAGCAUUCUUCAAUGCCAAGUCAGCCACCAUUAUCAGGACUGCUCCCCGCUGAACUCUUCGAGGAGACCCCCCCGUUCCCCCCAAGGUUUUGUCUUCGCUCUGGCAAGCUAUUUGCACACUGGAGAGAGGAAGCCAAAGCUGUGCUUGAAGGACAACACGUGCCCAUUUUCAGACUGAAAAAGCGCAAGUUCCAGGAAGUCAGUCAGGAGCCAGCAGUUGUUGAAGAUCUGCGUCCUGCUGUGCAGUGGGCUGUCCAAAAUAAGGCACUUUUCUGUGGACAUGUAACAAUGCCCAAAUAUCUGUCCUUAAAUCAAGGGGACCAGCAGAGGGUCUUAAUAGACAUGUCAGAGGAAGAAGACACUGGAGCAAGGGACUGACUUGUUCCUCUUUGUUUUUCAGUUUGCAGAGGACAUGGAGCUCUUUUUGAAUGCAUGUGCUGAUGAGCAGGGGCUAAGGGUCAGUGCUAUGUUUGACAUGUAAUGGACAAAUGAAGGCACUGGCUGUGUUUGUUUGUUUGUUUAAUAUGUUGUUGUUGUUUUUUUGUUUUGUUUUUUGCGUAGUACAAAAUUCCAAUUAAACUUAUUUCAAAAUGUUGUUCACUUUAUUCUGUGUCCAUACUUAUAAUAAAGGAUUACAGUGAAACAGCAUUAAAUGUAAAUGUAACAGCAUUUUUUUUAAACUUGUAUUUUCAAAAUAAAAAGCUUAUUGUUGAUAUUAACAGUAAAGAAUUGUAAUCAAUAAUAUUUUUAUACAUUUUAAACAUUAACACUCUGGGCUCUAUCCUGGCUAUCUGUGGACACUUCACUUAUUCUUUUUUUUGACUACUGCACUG